Molecule: ribosomal RNA, 43 nt
Filed under: Rhodotorula glutinis
Lineage: Eukaryota; Fungi; Basidiomycota; Microbotryomycetes; Sporidiobolales; Sporidiobolaceae
Also listed under: 3 other names
Description: partial 18S ribosomal RNA
Rfam family: Eukaryotic small subunit ribosomal RNA
Source: RNAcentral
UGGUAACAAGGUUUCCGUAGGUGAACCUGCGGAAGGAUCAUUA